GAAAGGGUUCAAAGGACACAUAAUUAUUGUUCCAAAUAGAGCACAGAACAUACAUAAAGCAAGUACGUAUCAGAAGAAGAAGCACUGAAGAAAGAAGAGCUCCAGUGAUGGACUACCUCUGUCCUCAUCCAUUGUCAAUGAAGAGUCUGGCCGGGAUUAUGCUGAAUACCAACCCAAGGCCAAGCAGAUAUUCCGCAAGCUGUCGUCAGUCAGCCCCCCUCGAUGCUCAAUCGAGUGUGACCCGGGUCGUAUGGUGUUCCACUACAUCCUUGAGGAAGGGAUAUGCUACCUCGCCCUGUGUGACCCCACCUAUCCUGUCAAGCUGGCCUUUAACUACCUCGAGAAUCUACACAAAGACUUCAGUGAGCAACAUGGCAACGAUGUACACAAGGCCAGUCGACCGUACCACUUCAUUGAGUUUGAUCUCAGUGACAAAGUGGGGAAGCUGGUCGACCACUCUUGUGCCAGAGGCUAAUGGCUGAUCAGCUAAUGCAGCAUGUGAGCAUCUCCUGGCUACUGUGGAUUGGUUCUUGACUGCUAGUUUAUGCUCUUGUCUAUUGGAGACAAUAUCUGCCAAGUUUCACCAGAGAUGUGUACAAGUAUGGUAAGCUGAGGAGUGAGAGUGGCUGGAGCUGGAUGAGCCCUAGUGUGCCCAAGACUCAAGGAGGUGGUUCACCCACUUCUACGUGUGGGGGAUGGUGUGGAACUACUCUGUAUUCCUCUACUAUACCAGCCACUGUCUACUGCACACACGACUACCGCUAUUGGGACCAACAGCACUGCUGCAUUUGAAUUCAGGUAUAGUCAUACCGUAUAGCGGGUAUUUUUCGGGGGACAAAAUAUUUGUUGUUCAGCAAUAUUGAGACAUUUCGUGGGUAAUAUUUUCGUGGUUGGAGCAGGUAACGGUAGGCAAAGUCGCUUCAUUCGUGGUUAGAGGUCCAACCACGAACACCACAAAUAUUUUGCCCCACGAAAAUUACCCACCUCUGUACGGUAUCAAGGGCGUAUACAGAGAAGAGGGCAUGCAACUCGCCCAAUUCUCAGAAUCAUCCGACUUCGUAUUGAGCUAUUUUUAGAACUGCCCACAAAACGCCCACGCGUAAUCUUUGACCGCACAAGGUAAAUCAAAGUCUUUUUUAUAUCUGUGCUAGCUAGCUAGCUCGAUUGCAGCAUAAUAAAACUAGUUCUCAGCAGCAGUAUGGCUCGUACUAGCAGUGUCAAGGCAAACCAUCCAACAAUUGCAACUCCAAGAAGAUGAAACCUAGGUACAAUAAACCUGUCUUCCUGAGUCUCUGGUACUUCUUAACAAUGCGCCCAGCACUUAACUUCCCGCUCGAAGGGGUUGUCUUGGACCUGGCUGGACUAGGACUGGUCAUGACACUUCUCUAAAAUAAUACUCCACUGUUAGCUAGCUAGCUAGCUAGCAAAGGCUAGGCAGCUCUGAUGUACACGCCCAUAAUUAUAACUCCGUAAACAACACCGCCCACUUGUUCACGUCCGUAUACUGGAUUCUAUUUUUAGCAUAUUCGGUCUCUGAUACGAAGUCGGAUGAGUACGUAGGGUACAUAGUGAGUUGCAUGCCCUCUUCUCUGUAUACGCCCUUGACGGUAUUCAGUAGUAAUUGUACAUACCUUGAUUAAGUAUUAAUUGUAAGUGUACUACCAAGGGCAUAUAAAAGAAGAGAGGGCAUGCAACUCCACUAUCAGUACACGUAACUAGCAGAGUUCAAACGUGGGUGGAGGAAUGUGUGCAUUUGCAUGAAGUGCUAAAAAUAGAAAUUUCUAUUUUUAGCAUUUCAUGCACUGUCAUGCACAUUCAUCUGCCCACGUUUGAACUCUACUCAUAGGAGUUGCAUGCCCUCUCUUCUUUUAUACGCCCUUGGUACUACUGUGUAAUUGUCGACUUGUACUCACCCCUUGCUGGCCUGAUUGUAGCCACUCUGUUGUUCCUCUGGGCCUACACACAUCAGUACCGAUGUCACGUCAUCCUUGCACAACUCAGAGCAGCCAAGAACAAGCCACAGUACAGCGGCUGUCACUGCCAAGCAGACUCACGUUUGCUAUAGACACAACAGACAAAUUGUUAUGACCAUUUGUUUAUUAGUUGCUAAUAUAAUUUAUGCUAUGUACAUGCAGUACUGUAUGGUAUCAUUCAUAUUCUCCAAUCAAUAAUCUAUCAAAUUAAUGAUCGAAAAAAUUAAUUUUGAAUUUGCAGUGAAUAUAGUGACGCUUCUUAUGCUAUUAUUUGUACAUGCAGUACAUGGUACAUUGAAUUAGUAUGACAUCAUUUAUUGUUCAAGCAAUAAACCUUCAAAUGAUCGAAAAAAUGAAUUUGAAUUUGGACAAUAAUUCAGUAAUUUGCUAGCUAUACAGUUUUGUCCACUUUUCUCCUAGUGAGUGUUCUGGUUUCGUCUAUUCGUGCCUUGUGUAUCUGGAAGGAGGGCGUGACCCACUGCCCACACGAGCACUGAUCACCUGACCAGUUGAAUGACCCCAGACGAGCCGAGCACUUGAGACACAGAA
Long non-coding RNA from Halichondria panicea, 2522 nucleotides. RefSeq lists it as uncharacterized. The transcript has 6 exons. The record is from RefSeq and is a predicted model, not a curated record. Lineage: Eukaryota; Metazoa; Porifera; Demospongiae; Suberitida; Halichondriidae.